UUCUCUAUUCAAAUAUCUCUGUUAAUGUUGAUGGAAAAUUAUUUGUAGCCCAAUUUUAUGUUAUUUUAGAAAAUUUGGAAAUAACAGAUAAAAGAAAAUAAUUUUAAUUCUUACUAACUAUAGAUAAUUUCUUAAAUUUUUUGUAUAUAUAUUCAUAUUUAUAUCUCUUUACAUAUAAAAUCAAAUAGAAUUUACAUUUUCAAGAUUUUAGGGUCAUAUUACUAAAUUAAUCUUCUGACAACCAGAAUAACAAACAUCUUUGAAUUUUAUCAACACCAAUUCAUAUAUGCAUUUGAUUAACAGCAAAUGUCAGGUGCAGAAAUCUCACUUGACACUUCCAGGGUAGCUGAGAAAAUUUAUUACAAGAAGUGAAUCAGGCUGUUUGCCGAUAAAAUAUUUAGCAAACUAUACCCAGCAACCAAAUUAUUAUGCUAAGAGCUGUAAAUCCGUAGAACAAAAGUAUUUUGAAGUUGGUCAAGUGAGCCUCAGAUCUUUUAUUAUACUUUAUUGUGUUUAUACAGC
This 522-nucleotide long non-coding RNA is filed under the name Pan troglodytes (chimpanzee). RNAcentral's name for it is "long non-coding RNA NONPTRT003987". Lineage: Eukaryota; Metazoa; Chordata; Mammalia; Primates; Hominidae. The record is from RNAcentral.